Molecule: ribosomal RNA, 274 nt
Filed under: uncultured bacterium
Lineage: Bacteria
Description: partial 16S ribosomal RNA
Rfam family: Bacterial small subunit ribosomal RNA
Source: RNAcentral
AUACGGAGGGUGCAAGCGUUACUCGGAAUCACUGGGCGUAAAGCGCGCGCAGGCGGUCUUUUAAGUUGGAUGUGAAAGCCUACGGCUCAACCGUAGAACUGCAUCCAAAACUAUUAGACUAGAGUGUGGGAGAGGAAGAUAAAAUUAGUUGUGUAGGGGUAAAAUCCGUAGAGAUAACUAGGAAUACCAAAAGCGAAGGCAAUCUUCUGGAACACUACUGACGCUGAGGCGCGAAAGCGUGGGGAGCAAACAGGAUUAGAUACCCUAGUAGUCC